RNAcentral lists this ribosomal RNA (460 nucleotides) under uncultured bacterium. Its description in RNAcentral is "partial 16S ribosomal RNA". It matches the Rfam family "Bacterial small subunit ribosomal RNA", at positions 338 to 795 of the family's 1533-position model. The record is from RNAcentral.
CCUACGGGAGACAGCAGUGAGGAAUAUUGGUCAAUGGGCGCGAGUCUGAACCAGCCAAGUAGCGUGAAGGAUGACUGCCCUACGGGUUGUAAACUUCUUUUAUAAAGGAAUAAAGUGAGGCACGUGUGCCUUUUUGUAUGUACUUUAUGAAUAAGGAUCGGCUAACUCCGUGCCAGCAGCCGCGGUAAUACGGAGGAUCCGAGCGUUAUCCGGAUUUAUUGGGUUUAAAGGGAGCGUAGAUGGGUUGUUAAGUCAGUUGUGAAAGUUUGCGGCUCAACCGUAAAAUUGCAUUUGAUACUGGCAGCCUUGAGUGCAGUUGAGGUAGGCGGAAUGCGUGGUGUAGCGGUGAAAUGCUUAGAGAUCACAAAGAACUCCGAUUGCGAAGGCAGCUUACCAAGCUGCCACUGACAUUGAUGCUCGAAAGUGUGGGUAUCAAACAGGAUUAGAUACCCGAGUAGUC